UAUAGGGGAGCCGGAGGGAAACCGAGUCUUAAUUGGGCGUUAAGUUGCAGGGUAUAGACCCGAAACCCGGUGAUCUAGCCAUGGGCAGGUUGAAGGUUGGGUAACACUAACUGGAGGACCGAACCGACUAAUGUUGAAAAAUUAGCGGAUGACCUGUGGCUGGGGGUGAAAGGCCAAUCAAACCGGGAGAUAGCUGGUUCUCCCCGAAAGCUAUUUAGGUAGCGCCUCGUGAAUUCAUCUCCGGGGGUAGAGCACUGUUUCGGCUAGGGGGCCAUCCCGGCUUACCAACCCGAUGCAAACUGCGAAUACCGGAGAAUGUUAUCACGGGAGACACACGGCGGGUGCUAACGUCCGUCGUGAAGAGGGAAACAACCCAGACCGCCAGCUAAGGUCCCAAAGUCAUGGUUAAGUGGGAAACGAUGUGGGAAGGCCCAGACAGCCAGGAUGUUGGCUUAGAAGCAGCCAUCAUUUAAAGAAAGCGUAAUAGCUCACUGGUCGAGUCGGCCUGCGCGGAAGAUGUAACGGGGCUAAACCAUGCACCGAAGCUGCGGCAGCGANNUGCUGGAGGUAUCAGAAGUGCGAAUGCUGACAUAAGUAACGAUAAAGCGGGUGAAAAGCCCGCUCGCCGGAAGACCAAGGGUUCCUGUCCAACGUUAAUCGGGGCAGGGUGAGUCGACCCCUAAGGCGAGGCCGAAAGGCGUAGUCGAUGGGAAACGGGUUAAUAUUCCCGUACUUGGUGUUACUGCGAAGGGGGGACGGAGAAGGCUAUGUUGGCCGGGCGACGGUUGUCCCGGUUUAAGCGUGUAGGUGUGUGUUCCAGGUAAAUCCGGUUCACUUUAACACUGAGGCGUGACGACGAGGCACUACGGUGCUGAAGCAACAAAUGCCCUGCUUCCAGGAAAAGCCUCUAAGCAUCAGGUAACAUCAAAUCGUACCCCAAACCGACACAGGUGGUCAGGUAGAGAAUACCAAGGCGCUUGAGAGAACUCGGGUGAA
This 996-nucleotide ribosomal RNA is filed under the name Salmonella enterica subsp. enterica serovar Typhimurium. Its description in RNAcentral is "bacterial LSU rRNA". It matches the Rfam family "Bacterial large subunit ribosomal RNA", at positions 656 to 1708 of the family's 2925-position model. Lineage: Bacteria; Pseudomonadati; Pseudomonadota; Gammaproteobacteria; Enterobacterales; Enterobacteriaceae. The record is from RNAcentral.